RNAcentral lists this long non-coding RNA (680 nucleotides) under Zea mays. Its description in RNAcentral is "drought-responsive long non-coding RNA". Lineage: Eukaryota; Viridiplantae; Streptophyta; Magnoliopsida; Poales; Poaceae. The record is from RNAcentral.
AUUUUGAUUCACAUUUGUGUUUGUUUUAGGGCAUACAAGAUGACGAUGGUGCAAUGCAAGUGUUUGGUGCUUUUGGUUGAUAGAAGCUGCUGGAUGCUUUUGGUAUUUUUGAAAGAUGCAAGUCGUGCUUCUGGUUGAUACUUAGAAGUUGGUGGUUCAAAACUGAAAAACCUGUCAGGCUGUCACUUGCUUUUGGUAUUGUUAUGCUUAUAUAUGAUGUUAUGCACUUAUGCAGUUCAGCAUGUUUGCUGCCUGCCUGCUUGCUGCUCAGCUGCAGCCUGGAGGCUGGUGCUUAUCUGAGAGUACUAAGUUAUCUGAUGUGAUCUGUAAAACUUACUCAGUUCUUGUCAAACUUAAUCUGUUAACAGGUUUCUUGUCAAACUGCUGGGCGCCUGAACACUGCUGUGCACCGUACGUCAGGCUGUCCUCAUGCAUCUGUUAACAGAUCUUUUGUCCUCUGCUGCUUAGACUGCUUUAUGAAAUUUGAAAUGUGAUGAGACUUAUGCCUUAUGGUGACUGGUGAUAGCUUAUUAGAUUAGAGUAUCAUACUUUUGGUCAUGGUCUUAUGGAAUAUGGAAUGUGAUGGGAUCAUUGGACCGCAUGGUAUGGGUCAUGGAUGUGUAAAUAAAUUAUAAUUUCAUUAUUUCAUCUCUCGUCUAUUAAGUAUUAACAGUUUAUUA